Molecule: ribosomal RNA, 369 nt
Filed under: Triticum aestivum (bread wheat)
Lineage: Eukaryota; Viridiplantae; Streptophyta; Magnoliopsida; Poales; Poaceae
Description: partial small subunit ribosomal RNA
Source: RNAcentral
AUGUCAAGUGUAAGUGCAGACACAUUGUUGAUGUUGAAUACUGGAGUAAGAAUGAUGAUCAAUGCUCUAAUGAACCUACAUGAUGUUGCAUUACUAUUAGGAUAUAGGAGGCUGACUUCUCGUGGCAUCGCUAGAUCUGGUGGCCAGCCGUUGUCGUUGCCUGUCCUCUUUGACGCGAGACCACAUGGAGAAGGGGCUCGUGGCAGCGCCUGGAUUGGUGGCCAGCCAGCCGGCAUCAUGGAGCUCGACAUGUCUCAGGCCUGUUCGCCACAUAACUUACAGUCCAGGUCGUUGACAUAUUCGGGUUCUAGGUCACAGAAACAAAAUAUUUUGGCUCAGCAAUUUCAUGCAUUAGAUAUCUUUUUGUGA